GACGAACGCUGGCGGCGUGCUUAACACAUGCAAGUCGAACGGAAAGGCCCUGCUUUUGUGGGGUGCUCGAGUGGCGAACGGGUGAGUAACACGUGAGUAACCUGCCCUUGACUUUGGGAUAACUUCAGGAAACUGGGGCUAAUACCGGAUAGGAGCUCCUGCUGCAUGGUGGGGUUGGAAAGUUUCGGCGGUUGGGGAUGGACUCGCGGCUUAUCAGCUUGUUGGUGGGGUAGUGGCUUACCAAGGCUUUGACGGGUAGCCGGCCUGAGAGGGUGACCGGCCACAUUGGGACUGAGAUACGGCCCAGACUCCUACGGGAGGCAGCAGUGGGGAAUAUUGCACAAUGGGCGGAAGCCUGAUGCAGCAACGCCGCGUGCGGGAAGACGGCCUUCGGGUUGUAAACCGCUUUCGCCUGUGACGAAGCGUGAGUGACGGUAAUGGGUAAAGAAGCACCGGCUAACUACGUG
This 467-nucleotide ribosomal RNA is filed under the name uncultured bacterium. RNAcentral describes it as "partial 16S ribosomal RNA". It matches the Rfam family "Bacterial small subunit ribosomal RNA", at positions 28 to 507 of the family's 1533-position model. The record is from RNAcentral.